Molecule: long non-coding RNA, 918 nt
Filed under: Heterocephalus glaber (naked mole-rat)
Lineage: Eukaryota; Metazoa; Chordata; Mammalia; Rodentia; Bathyergidae
Description: lncRNA (ENSHGLG00100049150.1)
Source: RNAcentral
AAACAAUUAUGAGACCCAACAUACUGGAUUUCUCUCUUCAGGAUACAGAAGCUUUCUGGCCUUCAUUAGUGCAUGCUGUCAGCAUGUCAUAAUCUCAGUGACAAGUGUGACCAGUGUUGUGGAGCUCCAGUGGGAGCAAGUACCAGCCCUGGAUGUGUCAUGAGUGAUUUCUAUGGGGGAGAACUUUGACCAUCAACAUAAGGAUGAGAAUAUUGCUAGAAGGAAAGCUGUCCCCAAUAUCAGGAUGGUCUUUUGUUCUGGAAGCAGUCCAACUUCACUCGCUGUACAUCGUGUUUCUCACAAGCUACAAUCAAGACGUCAAGUGAUUCUAUAAUCAUUUCAAAGCUUUUGGGGAAGGAUCCCAUUGCAGGAUAUUUCCUGUUCUCUUUCAGGAGUCAAGCCCUCAAAGGAAUCAGGCUGAAGACUUCAUUUUCUCACUGGUUGUUGUAUUAAUGCUGCUGUCAAUGCCUGGAAAUACUGGUGGCUUCCAUAAAACAGCUCACAUCAUGACUUUCCUUCCUUAAAGUGAGAAAUCAAGUUUGAAAACAUGGAAGAAUCAGACUUUUAUUUUUUAUCAUGGUAAUAACAUUUACAAACAUGUUUCCGGAAUGCAUUAUGCUCAUAAACCAAAGUUUUCCUGUAUAUUGAAAGUUGCAAUGUAUUGUUUUAAAAUAUGUAUACAAAAAAAUAAGAACCAAGAGAGUAUGUAAAGGUGCGUAUCUCCAGUGAUGAAUGUCAUUAUGUUGUACACCUAAAAUGUACCAAUAAAAGGAUAUACAAAAAUAAAAUAAAAUAUGUAUACAUCCAGAAGCCAUCAGCACAGUCAAGAUGAUGAAGCUAUCCUUCAAUUCCCAAUUUUCUCACAUAGUUGGGAAUUCCUUCUGCUUCCCCUCACCCUUCAUCCUCGGGCAACCUCUG